This 257-nucleotide unclassified non-coding RNA is filed under the name Hevea brasiliensis (rubber tree). The record is from RNAcentral. Lineage: Eukaryota; Viridiplantae; Streptophyta; Magnoliopsida; Malpighiales; Euphorbiaceae.
UGAUGAUAUUAACAUCAAGAGCAGAUAUUGUGUAUAUCUCUCUGAAUACUCAAAACCUUAUAUACAAAUGCUUAAUAAACAAUGGAGAUACACGUUUACGCGAUUUUACUGAUACAAAAAUCCAUCUACUGCAACAAUCCGCGAUAAGUGCUCCACGAGUAGGGCUACAAUGGCCUUCUUGGUUAUGCAAUAUCACUAGCUUCUUUAGAUGAAGAUGGCAAAAUAAUAACGUUCAUAUUUGCGUUGUUGGGAGGAAG